Molecule: ribosomal RNA, 464 nt
Filed under: uncultured Klebsiella sp.
Lineage: Bacteria; Pseudomonadati; Pseudomonadota; Gammaproteobacteria; Enterobacterales; Enterobacteriaceae
Description: bacterial SSU rRNA
Rfam family: Bacterial small subunit ribosomal RNA
Source: RNAcentral
CCUACGGGUGGCAGCAGUGGGGAAUAUUGCACAAUGGGCGCAAGCCUGAUGCAGCCAUGCCGCGUGUGUGAAGAAGGCCUUCGGGUUGUAAAGCACUUUCAGCGGGGAGGAAGGCGUUAAGGUUAAUAACCUUGGCGAUUGACGUUACCCGCAGAAGAAGCACCGGCUAACUCCGUGCCAGCAGCCGCGGUAAUACGGAGGGUGCAAGCGUUAAUCGGAAUUACUGGGCGUAAAGCGCACGCAGGCGGUCUGUCAAGUCGGAUGUGAAAUCCCCGGGCUCAACCUGGGAACUGCAUUCGAAACUGGCAGGCUAGAGUCUUGUAGAGGGGGUAGAAUUCCAGGUGUAGCGGUGAAAUGCGUAGAGAUCUGGAGGAAUACCGGUGGCGAAGGCGGCCCCCUGGACAAAGACUGACGCUCAGGUGCGAAAGCGUGGGGAGCAAACAGGAUUAGAUACCCGUGUAGUC